This 164-nucleotide non-coding RNA is filed under the name Nomascus leucogenys (northern white-cheeked gibbon). Lineage: Eukaryota; Metazoa; Chordata; Mammalia; Primates; Hylobatidae. The record is from Rfam by way of RNAcentral.
GCUGGGUGUGGUGGCGGGUGCCCGUAAUCCCAGCUACUUGGGAGGCUGAGGCAGGAGAAUUGCUUGAACCUGGGAGGUGGAGGUUGCAGUGAGCUGAUGUUGUAGUGAGCUGAGAUUGCACCACUGCACUCCACCCUGGGUGAAAGAGCGAGACCCCGUCUCAA